Molecule: ribosomal RNA, 1635 nt
Filed under: Triticum aestivum (bread wheat)
Lineage: Eukaryota; Viridiplantae; Streptophyta; Magnoliopsida; Poales; Poaceae
Description: partial small subunit ribosomal RNA
Source: RNAcentral
AUGCCAGCGGCUCCGGCGGUGGGCAGCAGCGGUCAUGUCGCCGAUGGCAGGGCCAGCUGUCGGGGUAACCUUCUUCGCCCCCACCCCCCUGCUCGCCCCGGCCCCGGCGCGCCGGUGCCUGUCCGUGGUCAUACGGUGGAGACGAUCGAGUCUUCAGGUGACACGGCUGCUGACAAUCUUCUCCUCUCCGAAGACGGCCAUGGGGACAGCACGGAGUGCUCGAGCUCAUUUGGGCCCUCCUGCUCUGUUUCUGAUGACGAGACCAAGUCAGGCAUGCACGACAUGGAGGUGGACUCGCCUUUCCUGGGUAAUUUCAAUGUGGACGGCGCCGCUUCUCUUCCAAAGAUGGCCAGACAGAAGCAAGUGACAGCUGAGUGGAGAGAGGCCGUUCGCCCAAUUAUGUGGCGAUGCCAGUGGUUAGAAUUGCGUAUGAAGGAGCUUUCGUCGCAAGUAGCAAAGUAUGACAGGGAACUUGCUUUAAUCAGUCAUGAAAAAGAUCUGCAGUCUGAGAUGAUUGCAACCGAUAGUUCUGGUCCAGAACUGGCAAAACAGGAUGCCCAAGGCCAUGAUAGAAAUAUUAUGAAGAGGAGACAACGGCAAAGGCUUGAAGACAUCGUGGACACCUCAUUGUACAUGGAUAGUCAUCAAAUAUUAUCCUAUUAUCAUGAAAGCAAAAACAGAAAUAGUGGAGCUGAAACAGAUGGUCUGUUGAUUUAUGAUGAUGCAGUUGCUGAGGAUACCAAAAGAAGAGUUCCUGACAAUACAUUACCGGAGUCUAAGGAAACAGAUAGGGUCUUAGAACAAUAUUCUUUAACAGAUAUUCUUCGGACAAUUGAUAGUAUCCAGUCUCGAGUCCUUAGGCUUCAAGGUCAUCUCAGCAAGGUUUGCAGCAAUCACACACAAGUUAAGGUGCCUCCAAAGAGUCAGAAGGCUCAAACCCAGUUAGCCUCUUGUAAGAAGGAUGGACACCAUCCUCAGAAAAAGAGGGAUCUGAAUAGUUUGCUUCAGGAGGAGGAUAAACCUAGACCACUUGUUGGAGUGCCAACUACUUUAUCAGAUAGGUGCACUGACUAUGUGAUGGAAUGUGGAAAGAGAAAUAUUGCAGAAGAAGGUGCAACACAACCAUAUGCAAAGAAAGUCACAUUUGAGACACUCUUUGGUGCAGAUAAUCCCUUAAUUGAUCAUACUCAUCUAGGAGAAUUAUACAAAGAAAAUGCUGAUGAUGUCCUAAUAGACAAUCGAGCAGCCCUAGUAGAAGGGUACCAGCAGUUUGAGAAGGUGAAGCAGGAAGCACAGAAUCAUGUGGAGCUGGCUAAUAAGGUUGCUAACACCCUUCUUUCCAGAGGAGAAGAAACUGUUGCAAGACAGGUAGUUAAGCUUGAACCAGUUUAUGAAAUAGCUCCAAGUGUGAAGCAAGUCGGCCCUGGAAAUAAACGAAGCAAGAAACCAAAGAAGAAAUCUGGGAGCUCUCUGCCUCCUUUGGAAGAGCAAAUCGAGAAGUCCCCUGAUGUACCUGCAAAGAAGAGAACUGUGAAAGAUCUGCACAAUUUGAAGAAUGAAAAGCCUGUUUUUGUAGCUGUGGACACGCGGAGGAGCCAACGAGUCCGAAAACCUAAAAAGUACGGAAGCGAUUGA